This 250-nucleotide ribosomal RNA is filed under the name uncultured bacterium. Its description in RNAcentral is "partial 16S ribosomal RNA". It matches the Rfam family "Bacterial small subunit ribosomal RNA", at positions 524 to 772 of the family's 1533-position model. The record is from RNAcentral.
UACGUGGGGCACGAGCGUUAUCCGGAUUUACUGGGCGUAAAGAGAUGCGUAGGUGUUUUAGUAAGUUCUAUGUUAAAUCCAGGCACUCAAUGUCUGAACUGCAUAGGAAACUACUAGAAUUGAGUUAGUUAGAGAUAGAGGGAAUUCCUGGUGGAGCGGUUAAAUGCGUUGAUAUCAGGAGGAACACCAAAGGCGAAGGCACUCUAUUGGAACUAUACUGACACUAAGGCUCGAAAGCGUGGGGAGCAAA